Molecule: ribosomal RNA, 116 nt
Filed under: uncultured bacterium
Lineage: Bacteria
Description: partial 16S ribosomal RNA
Rfam family: Bacterial small subunit ribosomal RNA
Source: RNAcentral
GUACACACCGCCCGUCACACCAUGAGAGUUGGGAAUACCCGAAGCCUGUGAGCUAACAUAUGAGGCAGCAGUCGAAGGUAGAAUCAAUGAUUGGGGUGAAGUCGUAACAAGGUACC